Myripristis murdjan (pinecone soldierfish) is the source of this 4981-nucleotide long non-coding RNA. RefSeq lists it as uncharacterized. The transcript is spliced from 4 exons. NCBI's taxonomy places the organism in Eukaryota, Metazoa, Chordata, Actinopteri, Holocentriformes, Holocentridae. The record is from RefSeq and is a predicted model, not a curated record.
ACAACAGCGUCGCUUUCGGGUGUUAUGCCACUUUUGAAACACGUGCGCGAAACAGACUUGGUAGAAAUGUUUAAAAUAGUGCACCAUAACACAGAAGGGUUAACCACUCACAUCGACGACAUCAAAUGCCAUCACGAAUUGAGACUUGCAGAUGUUUUGUGUCUAACCGAAACUCAUCUGUCAGGCUCAAUUGUUACCGACAGUAUAGCAUUAGAGGGGUACAGAGUGUUUCUACGCAACAGGCACCUCUGUUACAUGCGUUUUCCUGAAUUGGCCAAAAAAGAAGGGGGGGGGAGUUGCAAUUUACUGCAAAUCCCAUGUUCACGCAGAAGUGUUUCAGCAUAUACCAAAUGUCACUGACCUUGAAUUUUUAGUGGUCAAAAUUGAAGCACCAGUAAAAUUAAUGAUAGCAGCUAUAUACAGGCCUCCUGUUUAUAGUAUCAAAAAUUUCUUGCCAAACAUGGAAAGGCUCUUAGAUUAUUUGCGCGUUGUAUGUCCACACCCAAUCAUUGUUUGCGGAGACUUCAAUGAAAAUCAUUUAGGUAAUAUAAAGAAACCUGUUUUAGAGAUGUUUCAGUCAAAGGGCUAUAUGCAGCUUAUCACUGCUGCCACCACGGAAAAAAAUACACUUCUCGAUCACAUUUAUGUUUGUCAGCCAAAUGUCUGCUUCCAAUCAGGCGUACUUCAAACAUAUUACAGUUACCAUAACCCCAUUUAUUGCAUAGUUUAGUAAGACAUUAUAGUUUUGACUUUGCGCGAUGAAAGCUUGCGUUCUUUUUCUGACCUGCUGAGCGGGCUGUUCCAAGCCAGCAGUCAGCCGUUUUCUUAAGUUAUAGUAACAUUGCGAUCAGGUACACUAUGGGCUUUUAUUUAUUAAACUACAUAAUCAUGCAGAAAUAGCAACAGUUAAUACUGUGUUCGGUUUCUGACCUGCUGAGCGGGCUGUUCCAAGCCAGCAGUCAGCCGUUAGUUUAAAUCACACAAAUAUUGCGAUCAGUCACACUAUGGGCUCUUAUUUAUUUAAAUACUUAAUAAUGCAGAAAUAGCAACAGUUGAUACUAUGUCCGGUUUCUGACCUGCUGAGCGGGCUGUUCCAAGCCAGCAGUCAGCCGUUAGUUUAAAUCACACAAAUAUUGCGAUCAGUCACACUAUGGGCUCUUAUUUAUUUAAAUACUUAAUAAUGCAGAAAUAGCAACAGUUAAUACUAUGUCCGGUUUCUGACCUGCUGAGCGGGCUGUUCCAAGCCAGCAGUCAGCCGUUAGUUUAAAUCACACAAAUAUUGCGAUCAGUCACACUAUGGGCUCUUAUUUAUUUAAAUACUUAAUAAUGCAGAAAUAGCAACAGUUGAUACUAUGUCCGGUUUCUGACCUGCUGAGCGGGCUGUUCCAAGCCAGCAGUCAGCCGUUAGUUUAAAUCACACAAAUAUUGCGAUCAGUCACACUAUGGGCUCUUAUUUAUUUAAAUACUUAAUAAUGCAGAAAUAGCAACAGUUAAUACUAUGUCCGGUUUCUGACCUGCUGAGCGGGCUGUUCCAAGCCAGCAGUUAGCCGUUAGUUUAAAUCACACAAAUAUUGCGAUCAGUCACACUAUGGGCUCUUAUUUAUUUAAAUACUUAAUAAUGCAGAAAUAGCAACAGUUGAUACUAUGUCCGGUUUCUGACCUGCUGAGCGGGCUGUUCCAAGCCAGCAGUUAGCCGUUAGUUUAAAUCACACAAAUAUUGCGAUCAGUCACACUAUGGGCUCUUAUUUAUUUAAAUACUUAAUAAUGCAGAAAUAGCAACAGUUAAUACUAUGUCCGGUUUCUGACCUGCUGAGCGGGCUGUUCCAAGCCAGCAGUCAGCCGUUAGUUUAAAUCACACAAAUAUUGCGAUCAGUCACACUAUGGGCUCUUAUUUAUUUAAAUACUUAAUAAUGCAGAAAUAGCAACAGUUGAUACUAUGUCCGGUUUCUGACUUGCUGAGCGGGCUGUUCCAAGCCAGCAGUCAGCCGUUAGUUUAAAUCACACAAAUAUUGCGAUCAGUCACACUAUGGGCUCUUAUUUAUUUAAAUACUUAAUAAUGCAGAAAUAGCAACAGUUGAUACUAUGUCCGGUUUCUGACCUGCUGAGCGGGCUGUUCCAAGCCAGCAGUCAGCCGUUACCUUCAAACACACAGACAUUAGCUGUUAAAAUGUAUGCUGCUCUGGAAAAUUAAACAAAUAAAAAAAAUAUAGGCAGUCAAGUCAUUGUUCUAGGUGUAUAAAACAACUAGUGUUCGGUUUCUGACCUGCUGAGCGGGCUGUUCCAAGCCAGCAGUCAGCCGUUAUCUUCAAACACACCAACAAUGCAAUUUGCUUAGGCAAUGGGCUCCAUAACUUAUAGCACAACUGACUAAUAGUUUUCGGUUUCUGACCUGCUGAGCGGGCUGUUCCAAGCCAGCAGUCAGCCGUUACCUUCAAACACACAGACAUUAGCUGUUAAAAUGUAUGCUGCUCUGGAAAAUUAAACAAAUAAAAAAAAUAUAGGCAGUCAAGUCAUUGUUCUAGGUGUAUAAAACAACUAGUGUUCGGUUUCUGACCUGCUGAGCGGGCUGUUCCAAGCCAGCAGUCAGCCGUUAUCUUCAAACACACCAACAAUGCAAUUUGCUUAGGCAAUGGGCUCCAUAACUUAUAGCACAACUGACUAAUAGUUUUCGGUUUCUGACCUGCUGAGCGGGCUGUUCCAAGCCAGCAGUCAGCCGUUACCUUCAAACACACAAACAUUAGCUGUUACAAUGUAUGCUGCUCUGGAAAAUUAAACAAAUAAAAAAAAUAUAGGCAGGCAAGUCAUUGUUCUUGGUGUAUAAAAACAACUAGUGUUCGGUUUCUGACCUGCUGAGCGGGCUGUUCCAAGCCAGCAGUCAGCCGUUAUCUUCAAGCACACCAACAAUGCAAUUUGCUUAGGCAAUGGGCUCCAUAACUUGUAGCACAACUGACUAAUAGUAUUCGGUUUCUGACCUGCUGAGCGGGCUGUUCCAAGCCAGCAGUCAGCCGUUACUUUGAAUCACACAAACAUUAGCUGUUACAAUGUAUGUUACUCUGGCAGACAAACAAAAAAAUAUAUAGGCAGGCAAGUCAUUGUUCUUGGUGUAUAAAACAACUAGUGUUCGGUUUCUGACCUGCUGAGCGGGCUGUUCCAAGCCAGCAGUCAGCCGUUAUCUUCAAACACACCAACAAUGCAAUUUGCUUACACAAUGGGCUCCAUAACUUGUAGCACAACUGACUAAUAGUAUUCGGUUUCUGACCUGCUGAGCGGGCUGUUCCAAGCCAGCAGUCAGCCGUUACUUUGAAUCACACAAACAUUAGCUGUUACAAUGUAUGUUACUCUGGCAGACAAACAAAAAAAAUAUAGGCAGGCAAGUCAUUGUUCUUGGUGUAUAAAACAACUAGUGUUCGGUUUCUGACCUGCUGAGCGGGCUGUUCCAAGCCAGCAGUCAGCCGUUAUCUUCAAACACACCAACAAUGCAAUUUGCUUACACAAUGGGCUCCAUAACUUGUAGCACAACUGACUAAUAGUAUUCGGUUUCUGACCUGCUGAGCGGGCUGUUCCAAGCCAGCAGUCAGCCGUUACUUUGAAUCACACAAACAUUAGCUGUUACAAUGUAUGUUACUCUGGCAGACAAACAAAAAAAAUAUAGGCAGGCAAGUCAUUGUUCUUGGUGUAUAAAACAACUAGUGUUCGGUUUCUGACCUGCUGAGCGGGCUGUUCCAAGCCAGCAGUCAGCCGUUAUCUUCAAGCACACCAACAAUGCAAUUUGCUUACACAAUAGGCUCCAUAACUUCUAGCACAACUGACUAAUAGUAUUCGGUUUCUGACCUGCUGAGCGGGCUGUUCCAAGCCAGCAGUCAGCCGUUACCUUAAGUUAUAAUAACAAUGUGAGCUGUUAUGUUAUGGGCUGUUAUUCAUUUCAAAUACUACAUAACAGAUAUAGCAACAGUGACUGGUAGUGUUCCGUUUCUGACCUGCUGAGCGGGCUGUUCCAAGCCAGCAGUCCGAACGCAAAAUGCUUGUUUGUCACUUUAACUGACUUUUCCCAGCCUCUUUUUUGGAAGAGAGCAGUCUUUUUCUAACUGUGUUGCAGGUCUGCCAAGCCCCUCUGUGACAGCCUGGAUCAGCCACACCCGCACUUCAUCCAUACAGCUCAGCUUGUCCAUGUACGAAGACGCCUUGCAGGCACAAAAAUGAAGAAGAUGACACGCUCAAAACCAAGAAGACCAAUGGGCAGCUGUCAUGAGGACUCCAGCCACCGGAGCGCUGAGCAUCUAAAUAGGACAUGAAGACACAGGGCACGACAGCCGAGGAGACUGAAGAUGGCCAGGGAGAACAACGCCGGCUCUACUGAGGAAACAAAACAGCAACAAAUGAAGAUGUUCAGAGUCUAGAUGCCGCAGAAGACUCAAGAAGAAGACAACCAAGGAGAGCAACAAGAGCUCCAGUGAGGACUUUGUAAUUUUGUGGCACAGAGUUCAGUUGGUCCUGUGCAUGGUCAUAGUAAGUUGCCGUUGUUCAGUCCCCAGUUAGGCUUAAGAGCGGGUUCCCUUUGGAACUCGUUUGGGGGGGGGUUGUUAGUGUGGUGCGAACGUGGUUAGAGCAGUUGUCUCGGGAGCACAUCCGAAGCUGCAGGUGGGUCGCCAUUUUAUGGUUGCUUUACCGGGCUAUCGGGCUACAGUGCAUAAGUACCCGCCACAAGUAGCGCCUGAAGACUAGGGAGGAGCUUAGUUAGAUUCUGGUUUGGCAGCUAGGAGGACAGGGCUUCAGUGAUAUUUUGGCUGUGCAUUUGGGCUGAUUGAGCAUGUUUUGGUGUCACUGAGAGAACUUAGAUUUGUGUCUUGUUAAUCUUUGUGUUGCUCUUCUACUGUAAAUAAAUUUUAUUCCUCACUAAACAUUUGGUGUUUCAGCAGCCAUUAUUUCUUUUAUUUACUUUUUCUUGGAUCCAUUUUGUAGAGGUAAAUGUUUUUUGGUAAAC